Loxodonta africana (African savanna elephant) is the source of this 122-nucleotide small nuclear RNA. The record is from Ensembl. NCBI's taxonomy places the organism in Eukaryota, Metazoa, Chordata, Mammalia, Proboscidea, Elephantidae.
GUGCCACCCAGGAACUCUAUGGCUUCAAUAGCACGUAUUCUAAAACUGAAAUAAUACAGAGUAGAAUAGCAUAGCCCCUGUGCAAGGAUGACAUGCAAAUUCACGAAGUGUUUCAUAUUUUU